UUGCCUAGACAUGCAAGUCGAACGGGCUGUUUAUGCAGCCAGUGGCGGACGGGUGAGUAACACGUAGGUGACCUACCCCAAAGUCUGGGACAACUAGGAGAAAUCUUAGCUAAUCCUGGAUGUGGACAUCUACUUUGGUGGAUGUUUAAAGCUUCGGCGCUUUGGGAUGGGCCUGCGGCGCAUCAGGUAGUUGGUGGGGUAAUGGCCUACCAAGCCGACGACGCGUAGCUGGUCUGAGAGGACGAUCAGCCACAGGGGUACUGAGACACGGACCCCACUCCUACGGGAGGCAGCAGUUAGGAAUCUUCCGCAAUGGGCGAAAGCCUGACGGAGCGAUACCGCUUGAAGGACGAAGCCCUUCGGGGUGUAAACUUCUGAACUCGGGACGAUAAUGACGGUACCGAGGUAAUAGCACCGGCUAACUCCGUGCCAGCAGCCGCGGUAAUACGGAGGGUGCGAGCGUUACCCGGAUUUACUGGGUGUAAAGGGCGUGUAGGCGGUCUCUCAAGUCCGAUGCUAAAGACCGAAGCUCAACUUCGGGGGUGCGUUGGAUACUGUGAGGCUAGACGGUCGGAGAGGGUAGCGGAAUUUCCGGAGUAGCGGUGAAAUGCGCAGAUACCGGAAGGAACGCCAAUAGCGAAAGCAGCUACCUGGACGAUUUGUGACGCUGAGGCGCGAAAGCGUGGGGAGCAAACCGGAUUAGAUACCCGGGUAGUCCACGCCCUAAACGAUGAGUGCUGGGUGUCCGACAUCUGUUGGGUGCCGUAGCUAACGCGUUAAGCACUCCACCUGGGAAGUACGGUCGCAAGACUGAAACUCAAAGGAAUUGACGGGGGCCCGCACAAGCGGUGGAGCAUGUGGUUUAAUUCGAAGCAACGCGCAGAACCUUACCAGGUCUUGACAUCCACGGAACCCUGGUGAAAGCCGGGGGUGCCCGCAAGGGAGCCGUGAGACAGGUGCUGCAUGGUCGUCGUCAGCUCGUGUCGUGAGAUGUUGGGUUAAGUCCCGCAACGAGCGCA
RNAcentral lists this ribosomal RNA (1019 nucleotides) under Meiothermus sp. Its description in RNAcentral is "bacterial SSU rRNA". It matches the Rfam family "Bacterial small subunit ribosomal RNA", at positions 44 to 1100 of the family's 1533-position model. The record is from RNAcentral. Lineage: Bacteria; Thermotogati; Deinococcota; Deinococci; Thermales; Thermaceae.